RNAcentral lists this long non-coding RNA (402 nucleotides) under Olea europaea (common olive). RNAcentral describes it as "long non-coding RNA (OEUR_LNC003798)". The record is from RNAcentral. Lineage: Eukaryota; Viridiplantae; Streptophyta; Magnoliopsida; Lamiales; Oleaceae.
AUCGUGAAUGUUACGGUUCCAUAUUUUUCGAUUAUUCAUUUAAUUUGUGUAUUCCAUUUCAUAAGUUUUAUUUUUGUUGUUAAUGCAAUCCAUGCUCUACAAAUUGUUUUGGUCGUUUUGUAAUAUUUGCAUUGUUGAUUUUUCUUGAUUUCUUGCAGGUUUUGUGUUGUGAAAUCUACCCUUUAGCUGAAAAGGUAAACUUUAAUGUUUUCGAAACAUAAACCUGAAAGAUCUGACUUGUUUUUAUAAUUUUUAUAUUGAUUUGUGUCUUAUUUUUCUUAUUCAUUUUCUACCGCUACUAUGUUACAAAAUCUACAGCUCGGUUAAAAGGUACGAUUUAUUGUUUUUUCAACAUAGAACCUAUAAAUCUAACUACGUGCGAUAAUUUGUAGGACGAUUUCU